This is a long non-coding RNA of Malaclemys terrapin pileata, 264 nucleotides long. RefSeq lists it as uncharacterized. NCBI's taxonomy places the organism in Eukaryota, Metazoa, Chordata, Testudines, Emydidae. The transcript is spliced from 3 exons. The record is from RefSeq and is a predicted model, not a curated record.
CACAGGGAACAAGCCCAGCGUGACACCAGCAACACUUCUGAAGAUUAUAUUGAAUGUGCCUCGGUGGAUUGGCUGGGAAGCUCCAAGCAACCACCACCCCAGACAGAAGAGACGUCGACAUACAUGAACAUGGAUCUGCAGCGGGACAGAUGUCAUUAAUGCUCCAAUUGCUGUAAUGCAGAACUUGUCAAUGCGCAGCCACAUCACAGAACCUCCCAAAAUCAGAGGCAACUGUAGCCCAGGCUGUACAUCAAGGACAUGGGG